RNAcentral lists this ribosomal RNA (543 nucleotides) under Eudolycoris allaudi. RNAcentral describes it as "partial large subunit ribosomal RNA". It matches the Rfam family "Bacterial large subunit ribosomal RNA", at positions 1800 to 2613 of the family's 2925-position model. The record is from RNAcentral. Lineage: Eukaryota; Metazoa; Arthropoda; Insecta; Hemiptera; Pentatomidae.
CUUUGUUUUCAAAAACAUGUCUUGGUGAUUUUGGUUAUAUCAAGUCUGGCCUGCUCAAUGAUUUUUAAAUAGCCGCAGUAUAUUGACUGUGCAAAGGUAGCAUAAUCAUUUGUCUUUUAAUUGAAGGCUUGUAUGAAUGGUUGGAUGAGGGAAUAACUUUCUUUAUAUUAAAAGUUGAAUUUAAUUUUUUAGUUAAAAAGCUUAAAUUUAUAAGUGGGACGAGAAGACCCUAUAGAAUUUUAUUUUAUUGUAAUAAUUAUUAUUUUGGGUUUUAAUUAUUAAGUGUUACAAUAAAAUUUUGUUGGGGUGAUGGUGAGAUUUUUUAAACUCUCAUAAUUUAUUAUUAUUAUUGAUUAGUAUUUUAAAGAUCCUAUUUUAUGGAUAAUUAGUUUAAAUUACCUUAGGGAUAACAGCGUUAUUUCUUCUGAGAGUUCUUAUCGAUGAAGGAGUUUGCGACCUCGAUGUUGGAUUAAAAUUAGAAUUAGGUGUAGCAGCUUAAUUUCUAGGUCUGUUCGACCUUUAAAUUUUUACAUGAUUAGUUUU